This 492-nucleotide ribosomal RNA is filed under the name uncultured bacterium. Its description in RNAcentral is "partial 16S ribosomal RNA". It matches the Rfam family "Bacterial small subunit ribosomal RNA", at positions 29 to 507 of the family's 1533-position model. The record is from RNAcentral.
AGUGAACGCUGGCGGUAGGCCUAACACAUGCAAGUCGAACGGCAGCACAGUAAGAGCUUGCUCUUACGGGUGGCGAGUGGCGGACGGGUGAGGAAUACAUCGGAAUCUACUUUUUCGUGGGGGAUAACGUAGGGAAACUUACGCUAAUACCGCAUACGACCUACGGGUGAAAGCAGGGGAUCUUCGGACCUUGCGCGAUUGAAUGAGCCGAUGUCGGAUUAGCUAGUUGGCGGGGUAAAGGCCCACCAAGGCGACGAUCCGUAGCUGGUCUGAGAAGAUGAUCAGCCACACUGGAACUGAGACACGGUCCAGACUCCUACGGGAGGAAGCAGUGGGGAAUAUUGGACAAUGGGCGCAAGCCUGAUCCAGCCAUACCGCGUGGGUGAAGAAGGCCUUCGGGUUGUAAAGCCCUUUUGUUGGGAAAGAAAAGCAGCAGGUUAAUACCCCGCUGUUCUGACGGUACCCAAAGAAUAAGCACCGGCUAACUUCGUG